UACGAAGGGGGCUAGCGUUGUUCGGAAUUACUGGGCGUAAAGCGCACGUAGGCGGACUACUAAGUCAGGGGUGAAAUCCCGGGGCUCAACCCCGGAACUGCCUUUGAUACUGAUAGUCUCGAGUCCGGAAGAGGUGAGUGGAAUUCCGAGUGUAGAGGUGAAAUUCGUAGAUAUUCGGAGGAACACCAGUGGCGAAGGCGGCUCACUGGUCCGGUACUGACGCUGAGGUGCGAAAGCUAGGGGAGCAAACAGG
RNAcentral lists this ribosomal RNA (253 nucleotides) under uncultured bacterium. RNAcentral describes it as "partial 16S ribosomal RNA". It matches the Rfam family "Bacterial small subunit ribosomal RNA", at positions 524 to 776 of the family's 1533-position model. The record is from RNAcentral.